AUAAUAUUGUACGUUUUAGUUUAAUUUUAAAUUCUCAUCUACCGUCAAUCACUAGUUUAUUGGGGAUUAGUCAUUGUUUUAUUAAAGAUAAUGUGAAAUGAUAUCUUAAUUAAGUGCCAAAAACCGUUCACAAGGACUCCCCAACCGUUAAAGGCGAAUCUUAUAAGGAAGGGACAAGGGCUUAAGCAGCUUUCCUCCUCCUCCCUCAAAUGAAUUGGUAUAUUAUAUUUAUGGUAAACGAUUC
Molecule: non-coding RNA, 244 nt
Organism: Cinara cedri
Lineage: Eukaryota; Metazoa; Arthropoda; Insecta; Hemiptera; Aphididae
Source: the annotation of a GenBank genome assembly